UGCUGCUGGUGCGGAUGGUGCUGCAUCUACUCUGGUUGCAGAUACAUCUACCGUUGAAUGUUGAGAAGUAGGUGGAAAAGGUGAGCCAAAAGGCCCUGAUCCUGAAGCUGGUGGAAAUGGAAAAGGUGACCCAGGAGAAAAUCCAGCAUUGUUGAACUGGCUAUCUUGUGGAUUCAUUUGACCCAUCAAAGUCUUAAAAGCCUGUUGCAUUGCAUAGUUCUGAAAGAAUAUUGAAGGCAAGUUUAAAUUAAAAAACUCACAUAUCAAAAGAGUGUGAGGCUAGAUUUUGUGGGUGACACAAUAAACAAACUCUUAUUCAUUUUAACAUAUGUACUUGCAAACAUAUGAUGAUGGCAAUUUGAAAAACGUUCUUUCACAAACAUUAAACACGUUAAGGGCACUCAACUCAAAUAUUGUCUAUUUACACACACCCAACGAUAUUAAAAUCCUGUAAUUGAAUUAAAAAAAAAUUUAAAAAAAAUUAAAAAAAAAAAGAUCCAUAAAUUGUAGGAGGAAAGGACGCACCUUUAAUCUCGUAGCCACCUGUCAUUAAAAUUAACUUGUCAAACAUGCAGCAAAGGUGAAAUGGUCUAAUAAAAGUUCAUUUAAUCAAACUCAAAACAAAGAGCAUGUAACAAUCCAUGUUCUCACCCAUGAAAAUAGUGCUGAAAGCCCAACACCAACGCCAAUCCAAAACAAAGGCGACCCUCUAGAACAUAAAAGGUAAAUAAAGGUGUAAAGAUGAAAUGGUUAUGAACGUUUGGGCACAAGGAGGAAACAAGAAGCAACCAAAAAGCUCAUAAAAUACAUGAUUAGCUAUAAAAUAAAUAAAAACUGAGGAAGUGAAGAAAACAAAUCAUUACACAUUUGUGGGUGGGGGAGGUACUGAGAUUUGUGGGUUGACACCAACUGAAGAUGUUUCUUGGGUACUCGAAGAAGAAAUGCUCGCAAAACGUGCCACUUCUAACUUUGCUACAAAUGUAUCAUAAAAAUAACCCGUGUCAGUACAACUAAAUUGAAAACUUGCUCAACCGGGGAGAUCAUAUGAAAUACGGCAUCAUAGAAUCAGCAAGAUACAUUAGCACUUCUGAUGAAAAAUAAAACGAUAACCCUAAAAGCUAGCUUCUUUUUUUUUUUCACCCUCAAGAGCUGUCAUUAUAGUCUUAUAGAUACACAAUGUAGGGUAAGUAGAGUAGUGGUACAGAUGGGAUACAAGCACUUUUGACUGUGUUUGUAACAGUCAAUAGUGCUUCUUCACAAAACGCGUUCAAGUGCAUUUCCAGAAAUCAACUGGAUGUUUAUUAAAUUCUGACAUGCUUGAUGCUUCUAACAGAAGCACUUAUGAUCAGAAGUGCUUUUUUAUAUAAGCACUCCUAACCCCAAUCCUUGUCUCCAAAAGUGCUCAAUUCCUGAAGUUGUAAUCCUAUUAUAACUACUUUGAGAACACAUAUAAAGUCAACUAGCGUCUCCUCUCCAUAUGCAUGCGUCUGUGUGCAGCACUGCAGACAGGAUGUGAAGGUUAUCUUUUCCCAAAUACAGCCACUAUCUACAAACCAACUCAUCCGCUUUCUCCAACCCACUACAAGUAGAAAUUUCAGUGCUUGCGACUGUCUUUCUUAUAGCCUCCAUGCAUGGCUUUGAAGACUUUUCACUACCCAAUUCAUUUAAGCUUGAAUAUUAAGAAAAUUCAAAUUUAAAAAAGUUAGUCAUACACUUCAAACCUGAAAAAAAAAAUUAAAAAUAAAUAAAAAUAAACAAUUCAUACAACAGAGUUCACGUCCUCGAAACCGUAUGCAUCACUUCAGACUCACAAUUCAACAUAGAACCCUAACAAGUAAAUAAAUUUCUGAAUUUCAAAAUAAUAAAGCGAACCCGUGUUUUCUGCACUAUAUUUUGCAAGGAGAAGCUAAAAAAUUUCUUACUUGAGUCAGUGAACGGUAAACUGAAUCAGUAAAAUUAGAACCUGGGAGGCGAGUGGCAGUGGAGGGACCAUCGCGACAAUUGGCUCUGGAAUUCUGGUGAUUUUUGGAGUUUCUGAGAUUGGCGGAGCAUCGAAAGAGAGGGAAUUGAUUGAAUGAGGGAGCGAUAAUUCUUGGUUGGUUUGAAGAGAGGAGCGGCGGCGAGCGAGGAAGCGAGUGAGGAAGAGAUAGUGACGUCAUGAUUUGCUACUAGAAAAUCAAGGAAAAGGCACUGCAAUUGUACCAACCCAGAAGCAGUAGAAAGUAUAAAACCCAAUGAUUUUUGGUAGGGUUUUCUGGUGUUUAACUCAAGAAGAAGAACCUGAAACACAAGAGUCUACCUCUCCGUUCUUUUUUCUUUCUUUCGUUUUUUUUCUUUUUUUUUUAGACAAGAAAAAGUAUUUUCUGCUAGAACGAAUAAGAGCAUUAUUGGAGAUGUCAAAACAUAAUGUUAAGAGGAUUGUUAGAUGACAUUCAGUACUAGUAAUUCUCUUUACUUAGUCUUAGGUUCAAAUCUCGUGAAUGGUGAAUUCGAUAUCAAAUUAGGCUACCUAUUGUGUGGCUUUGCCGAACUCUUUAUUUCCUUAGUGUAAAAAUAUCGAUGUAUUAAAAAAAAAGGAUUGUUAGAUACAUGGUUGGAAUCAAAUUUGGACGUUGCCGCAGAUGUUGGAGGCAUAAUUUCGAGCAAUCUGCAUAACAGAAAACAACCAUAAGCAAGCCUAAGACUGAGGAUUUCGAUCAAAAACUCUCCGACGAUCAAGUUAGUAAGUUGUUUUAGACUCAAUCAGUGGGCAAAAGGAAUUAAAGUGUGGAGAUUGCGUUACCCAAUACAAAUCCUAGAUGGGUAUAUUUAUACAAACCGGUAGAGAGACCUUUUUAGGAUAUAAUCUUUGUUCUAAGCUGGAAGAAUCCUAUAGGAUAUCAAGAAGUAGGUAUUACAACCUUUUAGAGUUGUGAUUACUUGCGACACACGCAAAUUCGUAGAUCAUAGGAACUCCCAGACUUAAGAAUAAUCUAAUUGAGUUCAUAUCUGGAUCAUAUCGCAUGUCUUGUGGAACAAACAUGUUCAUACCAAUGAAGCCAUUCGGACUUCUCUUAUUGGCCCGAACAAGGUGAUGGUGGAACUGCUACUCCGUCGGAUUUAGCUCCACUCGGAGCUGGUGAGUCCAUAAUUGGAUUUAUGAGGUAACAUUAUUAGCCUUACUUCGACCUUAGAAAAUCAUGAUCCCACAAUUAUUUCUAACUAUAUAUUUGAAAGGCAACUUGUUUCCCUUGAGAAUGGAUAGUCAUUCAAAGACUAUGCCGUUCAGAGUAAGUUGGAGUACGUACUAUUUAGCCUUCUUUCUUCGUUUGAUGAUCUAACGCUUAGAGAGUAAUGGAGACGCUCCGAAUUCAAACGUGUGAUCUUGAAUAUCGUACCAUAAAGUUUAUGAAACUUUAUGUUUGUUGCAUGUGCACAAAAAACAAGAAAUCACCUCAGAUAUUCUUGUUGAUCUUAAUUGUCAUACUCGUUAAUCCCAAGGUGAGUCGGUUGGCAUUCAACAACCAGAUCGUUCCAUUGUGCGAUGUGUAUAUAAUCUUAAAUCUCUUCCUUUCAUUUUACCAAAAUCCUCAAAUUACCCAAGGAAAAAAUGCUCCAACUUUCCUCACAUACCAAUUCAAAAAUGGGUUUUUAUUACAAAUGGUCCAUGAAAUUGGCUCACCCCAUCAAGAUGGCUACUGAAAUUGAAAAUCAAAUAAUGUAAUUCUUGAAAAUGGAUGUUGCAAAUCAAUGUGAUCAUUUCGUUACAAUUCCAUUAAAAUUUAUGUCUUGUGCUGACGUGACACAUAAUUGGUCCCACAAGUUUAAUUAAAUAUUACUAUAUGAAUUAAAAUGUUUAAAUAAUAGUUUUUUUAAUUAAAAACUCAAAAGAAAAAAUGAAAAGAAAAACAAGAAGGUGAACAAUUCAUCUUCUCCUUCACCUCCCACUAAAGCAACCACCCCAGUCCCCGCCCCACCCUACCCCAUCUCGUUGCACAUGUAACCGCAGCCAAACAGAUGGCCCAUCAGAUCCAGAAACACGCAGAGGCCACCUAAAUUUGGUAAAAUACCUCUCCAGGUGAUGAAAAAAAAAAGGUCUCCAGGUCAAAAAAAUUAUGUAGAACACAUUUAUAAUAUGUAACAUUCUAAUCCACGUACUUAAUCAUUAAAUAGUUACCCCCUAAUUAUUCUCCCUAUGCCUGCUAAUUCACCUAGAAGACCAAUUUCUCCUUCUCUUCUCUUCUUUCAGGGAACCCAGAUUUCAAUUUUCCAAAUUUAGUUUGAAAUUUGGAAUCAAAUUCCCAAAAAACAUGAACGAAAAUCCUAAUCGACAAGACCGCAACCGCCGCCCAAAAAGCCGUCCAUUUUUCUGUACGCGAAGGCGUUGUCGAGCUUGCUCGGCAAAUGGAGGCCGCGUGUCUUCAACCCAUCAACGUCAUCAAGACUCAAUUCCAGCUCGACCAAACUAGCACCUACAAAGGAAUUGUCCAAUGCAGUUUCACAUGCAAUGGGGUGGGGUGGGUUGUCGAGGUUGCUCAGGUGGGAGAAGAAGAAGAUGAUGAACAGUUCAUCUUCUUCUUAUUUUUUAAGUUUUUAAUUCUAUAAAACUAAAAUUUUUUUUAUUCUUAUAAACAUUUUUAAUCACAUGGUAAUAUUUAAUUAGACUUGUGGGACUCAUUUAUGUGCCACAUCAACACAUAAUAGAAAUUUUAACAGAAUUCUAACGAAAGUACCACAUUGAUUUGUAACAUCUAUUUUCAGGAACUAUAUUAAUUGAUUUUCAAUUUUAGGAACCAUAUUGAUGGAGUAGGUCAAUUUUAGGGACUAUUUGUGAUUAAAACCCUUCAAAAAUUCCCCAAAUCCUUUCAUUUUCCAUCAAUGGCAUCUUCAAGCAAAACCUCUAAAUCGUCCAAAGUUUCGCCUUAUAACCUUCUGCUAAUAAGGGUUCGCAGCCGAGAAGAAGUUCAGGUUUUUGUCAAGGGCCAUUGGGAUGUCCAAGGUCAGUGUAGGGUUUGGUGGGAAUCAAGCUAGACAUCUAUACUAAAAUUCUCGCAUCAUUUGUCCCAUAGCGUCCAUGCACCAGGAUCUAUCUUUGGUUUUUGGAUUUAGGCUUGCGCUUUCCUCUCCCAUAUUUCCUAAAGAGUAUCUUGAUAUGCUACGACAUGGCCAUCUGUGAGGUUCUUCGACGGUCAAGUUAGUGAACAGAUUUAUGCUCCGACAUGGCCAUCUGUAUAUUUUUUGCAUAAUAGGGUUAUUAGGAUAUGGAUGAAACCGACCCACAAUUGUUACAAUUCAUCAAUAACAUUUUCAAGGGGCACUUUUGGGAGUGGAAGUAUGACGUUGAGUGAGAUGCAAAACUAUAGCGAAAUACUGAAAGAAUAGCGGAGUAAAAGUGUUAUUAUUGUGUUUUUCAAUAGUUAUGGAUGGUUAUAAUUUUUUUAGGUAAAUGUUUUGUGGACGGUAUUUUAAAUAUUUGUUUAAUUUGCAUUUGGAUUCAAAUUUGCAUUUAAUUGUUUAUUUGGUUAAUAUACUUUGGUUUAAGUUUUUAUUUGAAUAAACUUUAAAGGAAUACAAAUUAAUAUUUAAUAAUAAUUAAAAACUUGUGCGACGAUUCGUCGUCACAAAACGUUUAUAAGGACAAAAUUCGUGCGAGGAAUGUGGUAAUCGUUGCGCAAGAUUCCAAAGAGAAAAACUUUGCGCAACGAAUCCUUCGCCGAGCAAAGAUCGUCGUCUUUAUAAACAGAUUGCUCAACUAAAAAGGCAGAAACUGUAGAAAUUUACAAUAGUAGCCUCUGCACCCUUCUCUCCCAUCGCCUUCCUUCAAUCCGGUGUCCCUCCCUCAUUUUCUCUUAAUUUCAUAUUUCAUCCUCUAAUACUCCCUCCAUCUCAAUCUCCAUAUUCUCUUCAUACAUCAAUCGAUUCCGAUGUAUUAGGUAGACGAUUUGAUUUUGUAUUUAAAAGUAUCAUUGUCAAUUCAUAUUAACACCAUUAAUUUUGUUGUCUAUAGGGCUGUUGUAUACGAGCAAUGACUAAAAUAUCGAUAAUAUUGGCGAAAUAUCGCCGAUAUUAUCGUUUUUCAAAGAGAUCGAUAUUUUCUCACGUAUCCCCCUAAUUGUCGUCAAAAUAUCACGAUAUUAUCGAUAAUAUCGCGAUAUAUUCGAUAUUAUCGAAACAAUCGUCGUGGCUCCGUCGUCGGAAAGGCAGCCGAGGCUGCGUUGUUGCAGCUGCCCAGAUCUCUCUCUGCAAUCCAAGUUCGAGGGAUUAGGGAAAGGGAAACACGGGGAAGUGGGGGGUGUGUGUGUCUGUCUACUUUGGGAAUGAAAGUUGCAAAGAAGAGAUGGGGGGAGAAGAAUAAGAAAAGUUUGAAAAGUCAGAAGAAGAAGAAAAGUGAAAUGAUGAAAAAGAAGAUGGAGUGGAGGGGGGGAGAAGAAGAAAAAAAGUGAAAAGAUAAAAGAGAAAAGUUUGAAAAGAUGAAGAAGAAGAUAUAGAAGGAGAAAAGUCUGAAAAGAUGAAAAAAUGUGAACGGCAGCUAUAUUCGAUAUUAUCGAAACAAUCGUCGUGGCUCCGUCGUUGGAAAGGAAGCUGAGGCUGUGUUGUCGCAGCUGCCCAGAUCUCUCUCUGUAAUCCAGGUUCGAGGGGUUGGGGAAGGGGGAAACACGGGGAAGUGGGGGGUGUGUGUGUCUGUCUACUUUGGGAAUGAGAGUUGCAAAGAAGAGAUGGGGGGGGAGAAGAAGAAGAAAAGUUUGAAAAGUUUGAAAAGUCAGAAGAAAAAGAAAAGUGAAAUGAUGAAGAAGAAGAUGGAGUGGAGGGGGGAGAAGAAGAAGAAAAGUGAAAAGAUAAAAGAGAAAAGUUUGAAAAGAUGAAGAAGAAGAUGUAGAAGGAGAAAAGUCCGAAAAGAUGAAAAGAUGUGAACGGCAGCAGGGCACUUGGGAAAGUGAAAAAGUCUCUGAAAAGAUGCUUUGUUUGGCGUGGUGAAGUGUACCAGCCUCUGCCUUAUCACAAAAUGAAGGGGUAAACAAUAAUUACCCACUAUCCCCUAAUAAAUAAAUUAUAUAAAUUAUUUAGAUAAUAUUUUAUUAUUUGUUUUUUUUUAAACAACACCAUAUUACACUCUUGUAUUAUAUUAUUUUUCUUUUUAUGAUCAGAAUAAGAUAAUCUUAUAUUAUACUCUUAUGUAGUAUUAAGUCACUCAUGUAUCUUACCAUGCAAUGUAUAAAGUGUAAAAUAUUGUACUAAUUCAUUAUAUAUAAAUGAUUAUGGUGUGUUUAAACUUUUUUCAUUAAUUACUACAUAUUUUCUACACUCAUAAUGUUUGCCAGCUUGCUAUAUAAUCAACUUAAAUCAGUUAAAUCUAUCAUGCAAUGAAUUUCCUUCCAAUUUUUUGUGAUAAACUAAUAGAUAAUUGACUAAAUAAACAUCCUGCAAAGUUUCAAUAAAAAUUUCCAAGUUUUUCUUACAAUUUCCGUGGUUUUUAUUCAAUUUUUAUCGAUAUCGAUAAUAUCCCGAUAUUUUCAUCAAAAUUUCCGUGUUUUUAGACUACCGAUAUUUUAUACUUUGUAUACGAGUAGGGAUUGGUGGGGAAAGAUUUUGGAGGUAUUAUUUUUAUUUUUUCUAAUAACAUAAAUAAAUUAAAUUAUAUGUAUAUUAUGUUGUCAUUUUUAAUUUAUUUGUAUGGAGAUUGGGCCGGCAUCAGUUUUAUUACAAAAAGAAGGAAACUUGACUCGACUGCUGAGAAGGGGGAUACAAUUGUCCCACACCGGCCACAGCUCUGGUUAUUAGUCAUUUACAUAAAGAAACUGCGCAACGAGAAUUGUCCCUUCGGGACCUCCGUUCAAUUUUUUUCCAUGAAAUUGAAUGGAUUUUGAAGCAUUUUCCUUCUGUUUUUUUUUUUUUUUUUCCCACCCAGUUUGGGUCAAUUGGAAUGCAGAUUGAGGAUCUUUUGGUGUUGGGAAGUAUUUCACGCUUUGAUGGGUCCGUCUCACUGUCUGACUGUCUGAAUUUUCAUAUUCCAGGUUUGCCUACUAACUGUUUGAUAAAAUGACUUUGUUACUGUGGCCCUUAAAAGGUUGUUAAGCUUAAGCAUAUAGUUUUCUAUGAUCUCUGGACGAUCCCUAUAUAUAUAUAUAUAUAUGUUGUGUUUAUAUGUGUGCGGGCGUGCGCACAUUGUAUUUGUAUACCAGUUUCACUUGGUUGAAGCUCUUGAAAGACUCCAUUUGGGUUUUGCUUGUUUUAGUUCAAUAACAAAUCCAAGAUAUGUUUCUUUUAGUUAGUUUACAUAACGUGGGUGUUAAAGUUUUGAACUUUCAUUUUGGUUGUUCGAGGCAUUUGUAAAUCACAGUCGUAGUCAUUUACGAUAGAAAAUUUCUCCAAAGAAGAUAAUGUCUGCAUUGCGAUUGCAGGUAAUGUAUGUCGUAUACGAAUCUCAUUGAGUUUCUAGUUCCAGAUUUGCAAGUACAUAGUUGGGAAUACAAAUGAAUGUAUUUCUCAAAUCUCUAGUAAGUUGAGGUAGUUGAUUAUAUUUUACAAUAUUUUUCAACUCUCUCACACUUCUUUUUUUUCUUUUAGCUAAGACACCAUAGAUUUGAUUGCUAGAUCGAUUCCUAGCCAUAGAUUUGAUUCCAGCGUAUUGAGUUUCACCUUUAUUUCUACUAAGCAGGGUUUUCUCUUAGUCAAAAAUCAAGUGUCAUCAUAGUAUUGUGGAACCUAAUGGGUUAAGGUAUAGUACCUAUAGUAGACAUAUUUUAAAGAAAUUAAUCUCGACGAACAAUUUCUCUUCAGUUUUCAUUAAUGCGCAUCUAUAUGGAAUAAAACAGAAAUCUGGUAAGCAGUGCUGUUGUUUUGUUCUGUUUCUCUUCAGUGAUUCCUCUACUUAUUUGGUAAAUGCUUAAUCGAAGUACUUGUAGUUACGACUCGUUUGGUAAUGCUUCUGUUUCGUGUAAACACAAAACAUUUACUUUAGAAUCUCCCAGAAAACACUUUGAUAUAUAUUAUAUAUAUAUAUAUAUAUAUAUAUAUAUAUUUAACCAGACAUUACUUAAUUUUCCACAAUACAUGAUCAUCUCUGUAAUUCUUGAUACUACAGUUAUAUAAACUCACCAAUAACUUUGGCAGGAUUUAUUAGAAAUGGUUUCGGUAGAUUGUCCACAUUCCGUACCUAACACUUCCCCUCAUAUCCAUUCAUGAAAUGAUCACAGACCAGAUCAUUUCAUUUUUUUAAGCUACUGUCACGGAUAGCCUGAAACUUGGGAAUAAGUUUGUCUUUAGACGGCCAAUUAUCUUUGAUGAUAGGAACAUCUGCAAAAGUCGCCGCCCAUGCUGAUAACAAUGGAAACUCUUCUUUGGUUACCACUUUCAUUCCUACUAUGUCUUCAAACAAACUCUCGUAGUAUGCAAGCCAUCCAAGUGCAAUAUCCACAAUUCCAAUUUUCUCUCCGCCAAAGAAUUUCUUUCCCUUUAGCUCUUCUUCCAAGUACUUCAAGUUCUCCUUGGCUUUUACAAUACCUUCCUCUUGCUCUUUCCCUUCCUUGGUAAAGGAUUCCCAAAUAGAUGGCGAAACCUUCAUAAAAAAUCACAAACCAAACCGAAUAAUCAAAUAUCGAAACUAAAUUAUGAUAUGAACUACAAUUUUCUUUUAAUUUGCUUCAGGCAUGAGCAAGUUAUAAAAUAUCGAUGAUAUCGGAAAUAUCGGUAGUCCAAAAACACGGAAAUUUCGAUGGAAAUAUCGGAAUAUUAUCGAUAUCGAUAAAAAUUGAAUAAAAACCACGGAAAUUGUAAGAAAAACUUGGAAAUUUUUAUUGAAAUUUUUGCAUGAUGUUUAUUUAGUCAAUUAUCUAUUAGUUUAUCACAAAAAAUUGGAAGGAAAUGCAUUGCAUGAUAGAUAUAACUGAUUUAAGUUGAUUAUUAGCGAGCUGGCAAACAUUGUGAGUGUAGAAAAUAUAUAGUAAUUAAUGAAAGAAGUUUAAACACACCAUAAUCAUUUAUAUAUAAUGAAUUAGUACAAUAUUUUACACUUUAUACAUUGCAUGGUAAGAUACAUGAGUGACUUAGCAAGGUCUAAAAUAUCGAUGAUAUCAGAAAUAUCGGUAGUCCAAAAACACGGAAAUUUCGAUAGAAAUAUCGGGAUAUUAUGGAUAUUUUAGACCAUGGGCAUGAGCAAGUAGAGUAAGGUCAUAUACAUAAUACACCACUGAACGAAAAAUGCAGCCAAAUAUCUGCAAUUUACUGCGGAAAUUUGCAAACUGAUCCGACAGCGCAUUUUCUUAUUAUUUCAGGUAAAUAAUGAUGGUUCAGUUCAGUUAUCUGAUGCACUUUCACUCGAUGUGUAUACUUUUUGUGCAAGAAACUAUCUGAUUAUGAAAGGCUAGUUCAGAUUACCGUCUCAUCGCAAUAUCUGGCCCAAAAGCGUGCAGUGGCUCGCUCAAGAGGAUCUUCCGGCAGUAAGGGAUUCUCCUUCCAUGUUUCGUCGACAUAUUCAAGAAUUAUGAGUGACUCAACAACUGCAUUUCCAUUGUGCAGGAGCACUGGAAUUUUCUUAUGAAUAGGGUUAGACUGAAGAAGUAAAGGGCUUUUGUUCGAAAGAUCUUCGUAGAUUGCUUCGUAAGGGAUGCCUUUAAGUUGCAGCGCCCAAACGAUUCUCAGGCCGAAAGGGCUUGACCAUGACCUAAGGAGUUUCACUUCUGCCAUUUUUGCUGGUAGUUUGAGCUAUCUUCUGCUAGGCAGGCCUUUUAUGCUUAAUUUUCAGUGUGGAAUUUCGCAUGGUCUCCCUAGACUUCAUUGUAUUUAUUAUUGAAGCCUUCUAUUUUGUAAAAUUUGAAUUGCUUCCCUGUAUCUGAUACAUAUCACUCGUUGCCAUGUAAUUUUACAUGGUUUUUCAUUUUUAAUUAAUUUUCUUAGUUUAAUGCUUAGAAAUGAUAAGACAUGCUAUUUCUGUGUCUAUGACACAAUCUUUAUUUUAGUUAUUGAAUUAAAUAAAUCAGACGGAAACAAAGACAGACAAACAAUACGGUUGCGUAGGGGGAGAGAAAAGUGGAAUUUGGAAAAAUACGAGGGAGAAAAGGUAGACGGUUUUUGUGUGAAAUUAAAUGAUGAUUGGGUUCUGUGAUGUAAGCUGUGAUGUAACCAAAGGAGAGAAGGUUCUGUUGGUUUUCUUCCAAGUUUGGGCUUUUGUUUUGGUCCAAGGUGCCGGCUGUGUAAAGGUUACGAGAUUCUACCGUGAAGUGGGACCCGUGUGUCAAAGUGUAUAUUAUUAUUAAGAAGAGGUGAACGUGAACGGUUAGAAAUUAUUUCAAUAAUUUAGAAAAUGAGAAUUUUCAUGUAAAUUAACAUUUUAUCAAUUAGAAUAUUAAACCACAUGUAAAAAUUGGUCACAAUUACACUUAUAAAAAUGAUUUUCUAACACUCUUAUUAUCUUCUCACAUACUCUUUUUUAUUUCUAGUUAUCAAAUUAAAUAAAUAAAACAAAAUUAACGCGCAUUGUUAAACAAAACUACACGAGAGACUGAAAACAUGUGUGUGUUAGUUUAUCGUUUCUCACACACUUUUUAUUUAGUUCAGAGUCACUUUUGACAUCAGUGGUGGGGGUGGAUGGUGCAGUCGACGUGAUCGGUGUGGUUGGUGUGGCUUCUGUGGCUGAUGAGGCUGGUGCGGAUGGUGCUGCAUCUACUCUGGUUGCAGAUACAUCUACCGUUGAAUGUUGAGAAGUAGGUGGAAAAGGUGAGCCAAAAGGCCCUGAUGCUGAAGCUGGUGGAAAUGGAAAAGGUGACCCAGGAGAAAAUCCAGCAUUGUUGAACUGGCUAUCUUGUGGAUUCAUUUGACCCAUCAAAGUCUUAAAAGCCUGUUGCAUUGC
This 11824-nucleotide long non-coding RNA is filed under the name Malus domestica (apple). Its description in RNAcentral is "long non-coding RNA (MDOM_LNC002063)". The record is from RNAcentral. Lineage: Eukaryota; Viridiplantae; Streptophyta; Magnoliopsida; Rosales; Rosaceae.